AUUGAACGCUGGCGGCAGGCCUAACGCAUGCAAGUCGAACGGUAACAGGAAACAGCUUGCUGUUUCGCUGACGAGUGGCGGACGGGUGAGUAAUGUCUGGGAAACUGCCUGAUGGAGGGGGAUAACUACUGGAAACGGUAGCUAAUACCGCAUAACGUCGCAAGACCAAAGAGGGGGACCUUCGGGCCUCUUGCCAUCGGAUGUGCCCAGAUGGGGUUAGCUAGUAGGUGGGGUAACGGCUCACCUAGGCGACGAUCCCUAGCUGGUCUGAGAGGAUGACCAGCCACACUGGAACUGAGACACGGUCCAGACUCCUACGGGAGGCAGCAGUGGGGAAUAUUGCACAAUGGGCGCAAGCCUGAUGCAGCCAUGCCGCGUGUAUGAAGAAGGCCUUCGGGUUGUAAAGUACUUUCAGCGGGGAGGAAGGGAGUAAAGUUAAUACCUUUGCUCAUUGACGUUACCCGCAGAAGAAGCACCGGCUAACUCCGUG
This 490-nucleotide ribosomal RNA is filed under the name uncultured bacterium. Its description in RNAcentral is "partial 16S ribosomal RNA". It matches the Rfam family "Bacterial small subunit ribosomal RNA", at positions 30 to 507 of the family's 1533-position model. The record is from RNAcentral.